AACGCUGGCGGCAGGCUUAACACAUGCAAGUCGAGCGGGGAAAGGUAGCUUGCUACCUGACCUAGCGGCGGACGGGUGAGUAAUGCUUAGGAAUCUGCCUAUUAGUGGGGGACAACAUUCCGAAAGGAAUGCUAAUACCGCAUACGCCCUACGGGGGAAAGCAGGGGAUCUUCGGACCUUGCGCUAAUAGAUGAGCCUAAGUCAUAUUAGCUAGUUGGUGGGGUAAAGGCCUACCAAGGCGACUAUCUGUAGCGGGUCUGAAAGGAUGAUCCGCCACACUGGGACUGAGACACGGCCCACACUCCUACGGGAGGCAGCAGUGGGGAAUAUUGGACAAUGGGCGAAAGCCUGAUCCAGCCAUGCCGCGUGUGUGAAGAAGGUCUUUUGGUUGUAAAGCUCUUUAAGCGAGGAGGAGGCUACUCAUAUUAAUACUCUAGGAUAGUGGACGUUACUCGCAAAAUAAGCACCGGCUAUCUCUGUGCCAGCAGCCGCGGUAAUACAGAGGGUGCGAGCGUUAAUCGGAUUUACUGGGCGUAAAGCGUGCGUAGGCGGCUUUUUAAGUCGGAUGUGAAAUCCCUGAGCUUAACUUAGGAAUUGCAUUCGAUACUGGGAAGCUAGAGUAUG
This 624-nucleotide ribosomal RNA is filed under the name uncultured bacterium. RNAcentral describes it as "bacterial SSU rRNA". It matches the Rfam family "Bacterial small subunit ribosomal RNA", at positions 32 to 650 of the family's 1533-position model. The record is from RNAcentral.